UGUUCAUAUUUUGAUCAAACA
Molecule: non-coding RNA, 21 nt
Filed under: Caenorhabditis elegans
Lineage: Eukaryota; Metazoa; Nematoda; Chromadorea; Rhabditida; Rhabditidae
Source: RNAcentral